AGAGUUGUAGCUCAGGGGUAGAUCAUCUGCUUUGCAUGCAGAAGGCUCCAGGUUUAAUCCCUGUCAUCUCAA
Non-coding RNA from Podarcis lilfordi (Lilford's wall lizard), 72 nucleotides. The record is from the annotation of a GenBank genome assembly. Lineage: Eukaryota; Metazoa; Chordata; Lepidosauria; Squamata; Lacertidae.